This 6230-nucleotide long non-coding RNA is filed under the name Brassica napus (rape). RNAcentral's name for it is "long non-coding RNA (BNAP_LNC000504)". Lineage: Eukaryota; Viridiplantae; Streptophyta; Magnoliopsida; Brassicales; Brassicaceae. The record is from RNAcentral.
ACCCGGUAAUUUUGGCCUCCCCGAUGAUCCGCUCUUAAAGAUUUAGCUCGACCAAGAACAGCUCGCUGAAGACUUCCCGAGCAUCCGCUAACCCGAACAGACAGCCACACUAGAGGUCCAUCACCCGCAUCAACUUGAGGAGCAUUAUUCGGACAGGACAGCCUCCAAGGAUCGCCACACGCCAAAGACCUAUACCAAAAAUGUAACACCCCAAAACCAGCCCAUUAAAUUUUUUUUAAUGCUAUUGGGUCCUCUGCAGCCCAAUUGGAAAACCCUAGGGUUUUCCCUAUCUCUUCCCCUAUAAAAGCAAGCCUCCACUUCUUCUUUUCUCUCAUCAGAAAUCUAGAAGCGAAGCCCUGCGGAGAAUUCCCGGAGACUGGAAGCCCUAGCCGUCGACUCUCUCUCUCUCCUCGCGCCGCCUCUCUCCUCCUUCUCUCUCUUCGCCGCGUCUCUUCUCUCUCUCUCCUCUCCGCGUUCCCUUCUCUCUCUCUCGGCCGCGUCUCUCUCUCCUCGCCGUGAGCAGCCGCGAGUGGUGGUGGUGGCCGCGUGGUGUCAUAGAUCGCAGAUCCCGUUUUCUCUUACCUCCUAUUCUCAGAUCCAGAUCCAGAUCUAGGCUAAGGUGAGGUGUUCUACCCAGAUCUGUUCUAUGUUCUUUUAUAUUGUUGAAUGGGUUGCUAGGAUUGAUUAGAUCCUGUUUGUUGUUAGGUUGAUAGAUCAUAUUGCAUAAGAACUCUCAUUCUGAUUUAAGGCUCUAAAUAAGCUGGUGUGUUGAUGAUUGAUUGAUUGUUUGAUUGGUGGAAGAUCUGUGGUUGUGAUUGAGAGCUAGGAUGGUUAUAAAGAAAUGAACAUAGGAUAAUAGGAGAACUGUUAACCGGUCUGUUAGAUGAAUGAAAGGAUAUCUAUGAAUGAUUGUUAAAUGGAUUGAGUGUGACACCGAGAACGGGUGGCGUCUAAAAUGGAAAGUAAGAAAGAGUCUAAGGGUUUAAGGAAAAGGAAAUGAUAAGGAAAAAGGAAAGGUUAAAUGAUUGAAAUACGAACCACCGAGGAACGGGUGGGGAGUAUGGGAAAUGAAUGGAAAUGGAAUACGAACCACCGAGGGACUGGUGGGGAGUAUGGGAAAACGCGGCGGCCGUAGGGUUCAAAAACGGCAAACAGGUUCCCUACAAAAGUCAAAGGUUUUUCAAGAAAAGCGUAUCAGGCAAAUCAUUGUUGGAAUGAGAAAGCUACUCAGUUUGAGAAGUAAUGGAACGUACCAAAUGUUAAGGCAAUUAUCGAGUGACAAUGUUUUCCAUCUGCAAAUGAAUUAUUCUUAUUUAACAAUGUUUUGUGUAUGUAUAAAGAGACGAUAAAUUCUUGCAAAUUUUGCAUACCCGAAUUUGGCAUGACAAAGAGAUUUUGGGCUUCACGUUAUCUUCAUGUGGCUACAAAAUCAAGACUCAAUAUAAGAACCAAAAGCUGAGAUUUAAGAAUAAAUGUCAUAAAAAAAUUCUACAAUAAUGAAGCCUUUGUGCUUCGGCAAGCCAAAAGUGGAAAAAGCUGCCAACAAUCUCUUAAUAUGAUCGGCUGAGACGGAGAUCAUCACUGUGGCGUCGUUAACCGAUGUUUAGAAUUACGUCGAUUGGAGAACUUUUUCAGGACGGAUGGUAAAUAAGGUUUAUGCAGGAGAAUCAUAUAUAUAUAAUGAGGUUCAAAUCCAGACUAAUCUCAAAUCAAAUAUCUGCAAUAUCAUGAAAAUUACAGUUGGAAUUUCCCUAAAUAAUAUAAACUGCUGUGACAAUAGAGACCAUAUACAAUAUGUUAAACCCUCUUGAUCAUCCACCAGAAUCUCAAGUUAUUAUGAUAAGCUUGCAGUUCCUUUAGCAUUUGCUCAGAGAAGGUCGAGGACUAAGAGACAGAGAAGUGGCUGAAGUGUAGAAGAGUUGAAGUGAAGGAAAGACUCUGAGUGAGAGAGAGGGUCUUAAUAAUUAAUAUUAUGUCGUUUUGGGUUUACAUUAUGGCUACUAAAUUCACGUUAUGUGUAUGGGAAACAUUAAAUAAUUAAUCAAAACUCUAUCUUCUUAUCUUAUCUUCUCUCUCUCCCUUUCCCAUUUCUGUCACGUAGAUAAACCCUAAAUCUUAGGGCUUAUCAUUGGUAUCAGAGCCUAAUCAUCCCGCCUAAGCAAGAUUUUAACUCCGAUAGGAUCUCUGCGCUCGAGGGUAGCGUGGCUAGCAUCCUAGAUGAGCUGCAAGAAGCGUUUAAGAAGACUGACCAGCAAUUCAUGGAAAUGGAGAAACGAGCUGAAGAACAUCACCUCCAGUCCAUGGCGUCGAAGGAAAAGCCAUCGUUCCGUUAACGUCUGAUGACCCCGGAAACGCUAGAUCUAAGAAUGGGGUAGCCGGCGAAGCUCCACGGGUCAUCGUUGAAGGAUCGAACAACCAGACUGAAGGAUCUCAAAAACGUGUUGACACGGGCUUGCUCGCGUUACCACAGACGGCGAUUCCUCUCAGAUCUGCCGAGAUGAACACCCCGAGCUACAGAGGAGGAUCCACAAGGUACUCUUCGCAUCAGAAGAACGGAUCUUCUCCAAAGAAGCUUGAACUGCCAGAGUUUGAAGCAAAGAAUCCUGAUGACUUGAUCUUCAGGGUUGAGAAGUGUUUUAAGGUGAAUCAAACGGAGGAGGAUGAGAAGUUGUCAGUGGCUAUGGAUUGUUUGGUGGGUUGUGCUGUGACGUGGUUACAGAUGAUACAAGAUCGCGAGGAGCUGUUGGAUUGGAGGGAUUUCAAGAUCAAACUCAAGAGGAGAUUCAAAACCACGAAAGGAGGAACCAUACUCAGUCAAAUGCUUCGUCUGAGACAAACGGGCACGAUUUCAGAGUAUAGAGAGAAAUCUGAGGAGCUUUCUGCUGAAGUACCUCAUGUUCCAAAUGAUGUGCUUGAAGAGAUUUUUCUACAUGGGAUGAAGAGAAGCUUGAGGGAGCAGGUAUUUAGGUUGAGGCCCAUGGGAAUUGACGAGAUAGUGGAUAUGGCGACAAUCAUAGAAGAGCAGGAGAACGAGAGACACUUCUAUCAUUCGAGGCCGUUCCAGAGAACAAAUUCAGCACCGGCUCUGAACUCCCAUCAGAGGAAUAGCAACUUCAGCCCGGGAACACAAGGAGAUCACACUCCAGCCAGGAAGUCAGUUGAUUCUACUCGAGAAAAUAAGGGUUCUGAUCAGAGACGUUCAGUUCAGAACCUAUGUCGUUACUGCGGGGAGCGUUAUUUCACUGGCCAUCGCUGCAAGACUUUCCAAAAGUAUAAAUUCCUAGAGGUGGAGGAGGAGUCUGAAGGAGUAGAUGAGUCGGAAGAGGAACUGGUAGAAGAAUCAGAGGCUCAAGCGAAACAAGAGCUACAAGUUCUGCCGUUAGAAUCCAUGGCCGGGCUGUAACACCCCAAAACCAGCCCAAUUAAAAUUUUUAAAAGCUAAUGGGUUCUCUUCAGCCCAACUAGAAAUCCCUAGGGUUUUCCCUUUCCUCACCUUAUAAAAGCAAGCCUCCACCCCUUAGCCUCCCAUCAGAAAUUGAGAAGCGAAGCCCUGCAGAGAAUUCCCGGAGAUCAGAAGCCCUAGCCGUCGACUCCUUCUCUCUUCCACGCGCCGCCUCUCUCCUCCUUCUCUCUCUUCGCCGCGUCUCUUCUCUCUCUCUCCUCUCCGCGUUCCCUUCUCUCUCUCUCGGCCGCGUCUCUCUCUCCUCGCCGUGAGCAGCCGCGAGUGGUGGUGGUGGCCGCGUGGUGUCAUAGAUCGCAGAUCCCGUUUUCUCUUACCUCGGAGAAAGACGCAUGCGCUAUGGAGCAAAAGGGACAAGGGCGUACGCCCGCAAGCCCUAUUGUGACGCUUGGGGUGAUAUGGUACCUGCACUCUUCCCAGACGAAGAGGAAAUGGAUUUCGCGGAGCAGUCGAACGCCCCCAUCCAGGAGAUGACCGUGAGGUGUCGGAUUUUGAUGCCCCAUUUCCAGCGGGCAGCCGAGUACAAGGGAUUGUACCAGGGUCAGGGGACUUUCCAGUUUGCACCUGAAGUUGACAUGACACCGCCCACAAGGGGCCGAGGGCGCCCAAGGAAGACGGGGUCGACCAGGGAAGGUCUUGGACCGAUCAGGAUGGAAGACAGUGUACCAACGAGGAAACGUGGACGCCCAAGGAAAAUUCCGAGCAUUGAUGCAGCGAGUCUGAGGAGCAUAACCGGAAUAUGUCGGUGUGGAACAUUGACGCAGGCCAGGCAAGGACCGCGCUCAGUCCGGGAGUACACAGAGGAAUUCCUGGAGUCAGCCAAAAGAUGCAAGCCCAAGACAGCGGAGGAUUGGUGCCGGUGGUAUAAGGCAGGACUCCGCGAGGAGAUUCGGGGCAAGCUGAUUGGUGUGUUGGAACCAUGGGAAUUCGCCUUGGUGCACCGGAUGGCCGGUCAAGCAGUGGAAGCUGAACGGAGACUUACUCGUCGGGUCGUCGCUAUCUCGAGCUCUGAGGAGGACGUAGAGGUGGAAGAGGAUCCAUCGGAGGACUCAGAGUGGGAAGAGGAGCCGGCGUCGUCGACAGGGAGUGGCCGCGUGGCUGGUCCUAAGCCGGAAGGGGAGCAGAAGUCUCCAGUACGAAGUGGCUAGAUGUGAUUUCUGAGUCAGCUAGAAGGAGUAGGACACGGUUUUUCUUCCUUCCGUAUUGGUUUUUGCUUUUCAUUUCUUGUUAUAAGGUUAUUCGCGGAUUUUGGCGAUACCUUGAGACCUAUUUAUUCGUUGUAGUCCUACUCCAUUUCAUUUAUUAAAUUCAUUGUUGGUUUUAAAUGAUCUUGAGCAAGUAGGAUGUCAUUUCGUGCUUCUCUUGAUUGUGUUUGGAAACUCACCCCAGUUUUGGGAUGUUAAGUUCGAACUGAGGAUUUGGAAUUCGGGACGAAUUCCGAAUAAGAGGGGGAGAAUUGUAACACCCCAAAACCAGCCCAGUAUGGGAAAUGAAUAGAAAUGGAAUACGAACCACCGAGGGACUGGUGGGGAGUAUGGGAAAACGCGGCGGCCGUAGCGUUCAAAAACGGCAAGUAAGAAUAGAGGCGCCGGUAAGAUUGAGUCACGCCGAGUCUUGGCGGGAAGGGGUCGUAAUACACUGCAAGGGGUAUGGACUACAUCCAAGGGAACCGGAUGCCGGGUGUACCAGGGCAGGCGACCUCAUAGGGAUGCAGCAAGAAAAGGGGAGGGUUGGUCCGCUUGAGCUGUGUAGGUCCUAGAGUUAUAGGAUGAAUGGAGUCUUAAAUAAUAAACCGAAAUGUGUGAAUUGAGCGAUGACUGAGUUCAUUGCACUGCUUGUUUUGUGAAAUGAAUCCUUAAUAGUUAAUUAAGAAUUGGGUGUAGUGACUAGUCGGUUCUCGUUUCGCAUUGAGCGGUAUAAAAGCUCAUGGGGGAGACUGGUCUAGAAUCGCUUCACUGAGUAUUAAUACUCACCCCUCUUUUCCCUCUCCCAUUUUUGCAGAACUAUAAGUGGAAAUGUCGACGGUAAGGAAGGAAAUGCACCUGAAACUCAUGGGACCAGAAACGGGACACACGGAGAUGUCGGAAAAGUAGACAUGUGUGUCCUAAACCCCGCGCCCUGGAACCCGGUUGGAAAUGGGGAGGGACGGGUGUUUCAAAAAAGAUAAAGAGAGCAGGCACCACCUUGAAAAGGUGGAGAAGAGGCAGCCCAAGAUCAAGCCUCUGAAGCCGACAUGCUCAGUACGCGACACCACCAAGAAAGAUAGACGUGGUUGACAAGACCAACUUCUAUACUCCUCUCGCGCACCCACAACGGAGAACCCGUAGCGGACCUUCUAGGUUGGAACCAAAAUGCAUCCCAAAGAAGAACUACUCCUGAUUAUUCCAUAUAUACAAUUGCCAACUGAACAGCAAGAAACCGGGCCAGAGAAAGCCGCUGAAUACAGCUCGGACUGAGCUCACAAGACCUGAACAAUGAGAUUAGAGAGCCAGCACAGCCGUAGAUAUCAUGAGACAGAUACGCUCCUGGGAAAUGCUAACCCUCCGUACAGUACCACCAAGGAGUCGCAAAGUUCACUGACCAACCGAACCCACAACCUCCAAUGCCGUACGCCCUCUGCGAGAAUCGAAAGAGGGUAAUAGAUUGCUGUCGAGAUGCUGAGACCGGUGGUAACGGAGACAGCCCAAGAAAAGAACACGAGCUCGACACACUUAGAAGCUUGUCUACUAAGCUCCGGUGGUGAUGUCCAAAACAGAUUCCAGGAAGCAAA